Molecule: long non-coding RNA, 493 nt
Organism: Harmonia axyridis
Lineage: Eukaryota; Metazoa; Arthropoda; Insecta; Coleoptera; Coccinellidae
Exons: 2
Source: RefSeq, a predicted model, not a curated record
GUUUAACUGAAUAUUUCCGGUAUUUGGAAGCAACUCCAAAUAAUAGGAAUGUGAUAGAAGGAGAAGCGGUCUUGAAUGCCGGUCAUGUAUUAUGUGUGGGAAUAUAGGUAAAAGUAUUAGUAUUAUGCUUAGAAUUGUUCGCCUUAACAUCUUGAAAAUAAUAUUAAAAAAAAAUAUCUUUAUAUUUCAGCAAAGCAAGCCUCUGACUUGGGGAAUUGUAAAUAUAUCAUAAAAGAGAAUAAUAAUUAUGAACUGAAAAAAAAACAUAAAUACUUUGCACAGGUGCAGGUGAGAAUUGCAAUCCUAAAUUUAGACAUUUGCCACUUUAUUAUUUAUUUUUCAAGCAAUAAUUCAUUCAUUGAAAUUAAGGUGCCCUUUGAUGAAGAAUACAAAUAUAAUAUGUUAACUUCUUUGAAAAAAAAAUAUAUUGAGAAAAUGUUACACCAUAUUUGUAAUGAAUAAUUGAAAAAUUAAUAUAUUUUUUGAAAUAAAA